This 372-nucleotide ribosomal RNA is filed under the name uncultured organism. RNAcentral describes it as "bacterial SSU rRNA". It matches the Rfam family "Bacterial small subunit ribosomal RNA", at positions 526 to 896 of the family's 1533-position model. The record is from RNAcentral.
CGUAGGGGGCAAGCGUUGUCCGGAUUUAUUGGGCGUAAAGAGCGUGUAGGCGGCCAUUCAGGUCAGCUGUGAAAACUCGAGGCUCAACCUCGAGACGUCGGUUGAAACCGUUUGGCUAGAGUCCGGAAGAGGAGAGUGGAAUUCCCGGUGUAGCGGUGAAAUGCGCAGAUAUCGGGAAGAACACCCGUGGCGAAGGCGGCUCUCUGGGACGGUACUGACGCUGAGACGCGAAAGCGUGGGGAGCAAACAGGAUUAGAUACCCUGGUAGUCCACGCCGUAAACGAUGGGCACUAGGUGUGGCGGGUAUCGACUCCCGCUGUGCCGAAGCUAACGCAUUAAGUGCCCCGCCUGGGGAGUACGGCCGCAAGGCUA